RNAcentral lists this long non-coding RNA (1246 nucleotides) under Zea mays. Its description in RNAcentral is "long non-coding RNA (ZMAY_LNC001584)". Lineage: Eukaryota; Viridiplantae; Streptophyta; Magnoliopsida; Poales; Poaceae. The record is from RNAcentral.
UCAGCUACUUCUACUUGUUGAAGCUCAGGUUCCACAGUGGGUUGCUCGUCUACUCGCAUCAACACAAUACAUACAUAGUAUAGCCAAAAUCAACAUCACACCAAACAGAUGAAUGAAAUAUACAGUAAAAAUCUACACAUUAAAAUGAGAUCAUAGGAACUGGAAUCACUAAAUUUGGAGUUAUAGAUUUCAAGUUAUGAAUUUCCUAAGGUUUAAUGUGAUUAAAAUAGGAUUAUAUGUUAAAUUAAUGUUCUUACUGUUUUUAUGCCAAAACAGAGAUACUAAGUGAUAGAGAAUAUUAUCACAAAAUUUUAGCAACUGGAAUGGUUCAAUUUGGACUAAAAAUGAAUUUUCUAUGCACUAAACAAGUUUUAGGAAUUCUUUUAUAUUAAAAAUCAAUUUCUGUAUUUAUUUACCUAUUUUAUAUGUUCUCUGGACUGGGCCUCAAUUACUGAAAAGUGUAGGGGUUCAAGCGUAACACUUCCACAGACUCAGGGCACUGUUAUGGUGGACGGCGGGUUGAUUGUGGCAAAGGGCAAGGGCUCUUUAACAAUUUGCGCACGGCGAAGGGGUAUCUUGUGUUUUCAGCCGUCCGAUCUAGAGUCUAGGGUUUAGAUUUUAUGAAGCCUAACGCAUUCUGAACCGUCCGAUUAAACCUACGGCCCGGAUUGACUCAUCCAGGAGGUAUUCCCGAUUAGAUCUGCACCGCAUAUCAACGAUCCCACGGGUACCUUUCGCCCAACCCAUCUUCAAAUCCCGACCGGUCAUCUCAGUAUCUACGGCGACGACAUCGUCUUCUUCCCUCGGACGGCAGAGCGGUGCCAGCAAGCGCCAGGAAGCAAGCGGCGAGCAGGGGGAUGAGUUACCCGCGGUGCGGCGUGCAGCGCAACUAAAACCUACGCACCGAGGAAAUACUGUUGAAUCGCAGGGAUGUUCUCUUACCGUUUUCGAAGCACCGGUGUGGUUGUCCCCGGAGGCUGGCGGCGCGCCAGAUCUCUUGACGCCGACAACGAGGCUCCCGGUCUCUGGCUUAGCGACCCCGUGGACGAGUCCUUGCGCAGUACAAGGAUGCGCCACCAUAUGGCACCGCGUGAAUAUUGCGAACGCGCUCGACUUCACCCGCGAUCAAACCCACUCCCUUCUCCCUUGGUUUCUCUCUCUUAAUGGCUGCAAUCCAGGCGGCGCACACCUACCAUUUUUUUUGCUCCAGGUCAACCACGACGGCCAACAACUAGGACCAUCCGAC